ACGACUAUUCUAUUAAUAUAUUAUUAUAUAUUUAUAUUAAUUAGUAUUAACUUAAAAAAUAUUCUCGGCGUUCAUUUGUAUAAAAGGAUCAGCUUCACCACUUUACAACUCAGUUUAUAGUUGACUUCGUCGUAUUCAGCAGACAUGAAAUUCUUUAUCUUCUUCGCUUUGUUACUGGUCCUUUUAGGCACCGCUUUGGGUGAUGGAAAGCAUCCAUUGAAUAAUAAAGAACAAUCACACCAAAAACAGCAACCAAGUCCAAGCCACGGCGGCCAACCACAAACAGCCGGACAUCACAAGGAUUCCCACCAUGGCCACUAGAUAUUGGAGUAUUUCGAUGCAAAGUCCUUGGUUUGAAUAAAUAAAAAAUUACCUAA
Molecule: long non-coding RNA, 377 nt
Organism: Bactrocera dorsalis (oriental fruit fly)
Lineage: Eukaryota; Metazoa; Arthropoda; Insecta; Diptera; Tephritidae
Exons: 2
Source: RefSeq, a predicted model, not a curated record